This 253-nucleotide ribosomal RNA is filed under the name uncultured prokaryote. RNAcentral's name for it is "partial 16S ribosomal RNA". It matches the Rfam family "Bacterial small subunit ribosomal RNA", at positions 524 to 776 of the family's 1533-position model. The record is from RNAcentral.
UACGUAGGUGGCAAGCGUUGUUCGGAAUUAUUGGGCGUAAAGGGCGCGUAGGCGGCUUGUUAAGUCGGCUGUGAAAGCCCGGGGCUCAACCCCGGAGGGUCGGCCGAUACUGGCGGGCUAGAGUACGGAAGAGGUAGCUGGAAUUCUCGGUGUAGCGGUGAAAUGCGUAGAUAUCGGGAGGAACACCAGAGGCGAAGGCGGGCUACUGGGCCGAUACUGACGCUGAUGCGCGAAAGCCAGGGUAGCAAACGGG